Molecule: RNA transcript, 3270 nt
Organism: Ahaetulla prasina
Lineage: Eukaryota; Metazoa; Chordata; Lepidosauria; Squamata; Colubridae
Gene: GATAD1
Gene name: GATA zinc finger domain containing 1
Exons: 6
Source: RefSeq, a predicted model, not a curated record
CGUCGCCGUCGUCCUGCUUUCCCUCCGUUUCCUCAGCAGCGCUGGCCUCUCGCCUUGGGCGCCGUUUCCGCGACCGAGCCGUCGUGGCGGGUGGGCCGAGUGUCAGGAACCGAAGGAGCAAACGGGCCAGCGCCAGGAUGCCGCUGGGCCUCAAGCCGACGUGCAGCGUCUGCCGCACCACUUCCUCGUCCAUGUGGAAGAAAGGCGGGCAGGGCGAGAUCCUUUGCAACAACUGCACGGGCCGUUCAGGGCCGGCCGCCGCUGGGGCAGCUUCAUACGCCGGCACCUCCGCGGCCUCGCAGCACAGCAACGGCGGCGGCGGGGGAGGUGGCGGCGGCGGCGGCGGCGGCGGGAGUAGCGGCGGCGGGAAGCAGAGUAAGCAAGAAAUUCACAGAAGAUCUGCUCGAUUGAGGAACACAAAAUAUAAAUCGGCUCCUGCUGCUGAGAAAAAGGUUUCCACUAAAGGAAAAGGGAGAAGGCAUAUUUUCAAAUUAAAAAAUCCCAUCAAAGCUCCAGAAUCUGUAGCCACAAUCAUUACAGCAGAAUCUAUCUUCUAUAAGGGAAUAUACUAUCAAAUUGGAGAUAUUGUUUCAGUGAUUGAUGAGCAAGAUGGUAAAACAUACUAUGCUCAGAUUAGAGGUUUUAUUCAAGACCAAUACUGUGAAAAAAGUGCAGCUUUAACAUGGCUCAUUCCUACUACAGCAAGCCCAAAAGACUAUUUUGAUCCUGCAACUUACAUAAUAGGACCAGAAGAAGAUCUUCCAAGAAAAAUUGAGUACUUAGAAUUUAUCUGCCAUGCACCUUCAGAAUAUUUCAAAUCUCGAUCAACUCCUUUUCCUACGAUUCCCACUAGGCCAGAAAAAGGUUAUAUCUGGACUCACGUUGGACCUACUCCAGCAAUUUCAAUCAAGGAAACUGUUAGUACCAGCUUGUAGUAUCUCUUCAAAAAAGGCUUUUAUUUAUAUUUUAAAUUACCAUCUGACUUCUAUUUAUUGUUUAAAUCUCUGCCUUGGUCAAUUUUUCAUUUUUGAAGGUUUUUUUUUCUCAGAAAAAAAUACAAUUUCAUCUAGAUAAAUGAAUAUUUUAAAGUAUUUAUGCUGUGUUAGAACUGUGCCCUUAUACUAUGUACAGUAGUUUGUAUUUAAUUUGAUCAUGGAGCAGAGGGAUAGAGGCAAGUAUUCAUUAAAAACUGAGCUGAAAUGAUAGGAAAAUGGAGGAAAACCUUGAUACAGAUAUAUCUAUUUAAAAUGUUCAAUUGAAAAACAUUAUGGAAAAAUAGGAAUAUAUUUCCAUUGUUGCAUAUGUUCUGUGCUAUCCUUAUCUGAAAAAAAGUUAUGAAGUCUCCCUACAUAAAAUCCUUGGUGAUUUUAAGAAAAAUGUAAGGAUUAGUUCUAAAACAAUCUUGGUAGAAAAUCAUCUGUUUCAACAUGAUUCUGUUAAAAUGGGCACUUUAUUUGGAUGAUGGCUUUUGCCAGAACUUUAAUGUGAAUUCUUGAACCAAUUUGUAAUUCUUGUGAUAUAUUAAUGCAGGGGUCCUCAACCCCCAGGCUGCACCCCAUUCAGAACCAGGUUGCGGAAGUGGUGGGCGAGGACCCUGUAUUUGUGAAAUUGGAGUGUGCGCACAUAGGAAACCAUCCCCCUGCCCCCUAGUCUGCCAAGCCGGAAAGGUUGGGGAUGCUAUAUUAAAGGAUAUCUUCUUAAUUCAUUCCAAGGGUAAUCUUGGGGAAAUGUAACUUUCUACUUCUUUACCUUAAAUCUUUGCAGCUAAUAGAAAUGAAUAGGUGGAAGGAGGAGUGGUAAAAUAGUUGUUAAAAUAAGUAUAAGUGCCAGGUAUCUUUUAAGAGAUAGCUGAAUAGCUAUCCCUUGUGUCCUUUUAAGUUCUAUCAAGUUAGUUAUUUUUGCCUUAGACAUUGUUCAGAAAUGGAGAUGGUUUGUUAGAUUAAACUUGGAUAAUACAAAACCUGGUGCAAUUAUUCUAAAUCAUAUAAUUUUAUCUCAGUAUGUUGUAUGUACUCAUUUAAUUGUAAAUUGUUCAGAAACCAUGUUUAAAUUAUGGCUUAAUGUAAAGCCCAAUCCCAGCCUGAUUAUUUUCAUGUUUAUUUGUUACCAGGUUUAAUUUUAAUAUCAAAAAGGUUUUUAUACUGCUGCUACUACUCAUGAACGAUUUUGAAGAAAUCCAGAUCUAUUUUUUUGUAUCAUCGCAUAAAACAAUAAAUGGAUUGUAUUCAUAUCUAGGCUCUAAUACGUGAAGGAUGAAUACACCAGAGAAUUAGUAAAAACAGACCUUCUGGUAAAAAGUACUUCUGAUGUUCUGGAAGUGCUGUAUGAAUCAGUUCUAUCAUUUAUAAAUUAUAUUAGAUUAUAGAUAUCACAGACUUGUUUUGUAUUAACUUCAAUUCAUUAAGACUUGUUUAGAUACAGAUAGUCAUUUAGCUUUAUUGUCUUGGACGGUGUUCAGUUACCAGUAAUUGUAAACUGCCCACAUUUACAAUAUUCAAAGCAUCUCUCCAGUCAUAUGUUCGUCAUUGUCAGCUAAUAAGCAUUAUCCUGUGCCUGACUUGUUUUUUUCAUCCCUCUUCAAAGUGGAGUAGCUAAACAAGUGAUCUUUUCCAGAGUUACUUUCCUCUGCAGCAGUGUGUCUCUAAAAAGGGCUAACCACACACUAACAAGCUCAGCUUUCUGACUUUAGUUAAUUAGAACUCUCUAGUUUGGUGCUGCUGACAUUGACAAAACUAAUCAGUUUCACACUAAAGGUUUUGUUUGCCUCCUAAGCAGCUUGCUAGGCCAAUAGCUGGUGCUAACACAUUUCUUUCUAUGUGUACUUCCCAUUGUGUGCCUGAUUAUUCUUUUGUAAUCGCUUCCUCUCCAGUGAAUGUCUGAAUACAUCAAUUAUCCUAAUCCCAGGAAGAACAUUCCAAAAGUUUCCAAUUGACUUUGCUUGUGAAAAGCUGGCAAAGUACAUCAAGAAAUUGCAAUCGCAUGACCAUGACUCAAUGUGAUGUAAUCAUGAUUCCAGUACAAAUAUCCAGAUGCUAUGAUGGCUGAAGCUGUGGUGCAAAACAAAUAGAACUUUUCCAGAAGAACAGCGUCACAUACAAGGACACUUAUAGAACUGAACGAUAACCAGAAAAAUUGAACUUUCUUAGAAAGCAAAAUGUAGUACACAUCAAGAAAACUAACUUUCAGUGUUUUAAACAUUUGGUUUUAACAUUGUACAAAUAAAGGGAUCAAUACAAAGUCCACAAUAUAUUAUUAACAAUUGUAUUCAUA